AGCAACAAAUGCCCUGCUUCCAGGAAAAGCCUCUAAGCAUCAGGUAACAUCAAAUCGUACCCCAAACCGACACAGGUGGUCAGGUAGAGAAUACCAAGGCGCUUGAGAGAACUCGGGUGAAGGAACUAGGCAAAAUGGUGCCGUAACUUCGGGAGAAGGCACGCUGACACGUAGGUGAAGUGAUUUACUCAUGGAGCUGAAGUCAGUCGAAGAUACCAGCUGGCUGCAACUGUUUAUUAAAAACACAGCACUGUGCAAACACGAAAGUGGACGUAUACGGUGUGACGCCUGCCCGGUGCCGGAAGGUUAAUUGAUGGGGUCAGCGCAAGCGAAGCUCCUGAUCGAAGCCCCGGUAAACGGCGGCCGUAACUAUAACGGUCCUAAGGUAGCGAAAUUCCUUGUCGGGUAAGUUCCGACCUGCACGAAUGGCGUAAUGAUGGCCAGGCUGUCUCCACCCGAGACUCAGUGAAAUUGAACUCGCUGUGAAGAUGCAGUGUACCCGCGGCAAGACGGAAAGACCCCGUGAACCUUUACUAUAGCUUGACACUGAACAUUGAGCCUUGAUGUGUAGGAUAGGUGGGAGGCUUUGAAGUGUGGACGCCAGUCUGCAUGGAGCCGGCCUUGAAAUACCACCCUUUAAUGUUUGAUGUUCUAACGUGGACCCGUGAUCCGGGUUGCGGACAGUGUCUGGUGGGUAGUUUGACUGGGGCGGUCUCCUCCUAAAGAGUAACGGAGGAGCACGAAGGUUGGCUAAUCCUGGUCGGACAUCAGGAGGUUAGUGCAAUGGCAUAAGCCAGCUUGACUGCGAGCGUGACGGCGCGAGCAGGUGCGAAAGCAGGUCAUAGUGAUCCGGUGGUUCUGAAUGGAAGGGCCAUCGCUCAACGGAUAAAAGGUACUCCGGGGAUAACAGGCUGAUACCGCCCAAGAGUUCAUAUCGACGGCGGUGUUUGGCACCUCGAUGUCGGCUCAUCACAUCCUGGGGCUGAAGUAGGUCCCAAGGGUAUGGCUGUUCGCCAUUUAAAGUGGUACGCGAGCUGGGUUUAGAACGUCGUGAGACAGUUCGGUCCCUAUCUGCCGUGGGCGCUGGAGAACUGAGGGGGGCUGCUCCUAGUACGAGAGGACCGGAGUGGACGCAUCACUGGUGUUCGGGUUGUCAUGCCAAUGGCACUGCCCGGUAGCUAAAUGCGGAAGAGAUAAGUGCUGAAAGCAUCUAAGCACGAAACUUGCCCCGAGAUGAGUUCUCCCUGAGACUUAGAGUCUCCUGAAGGAACGUUGAAGACGACGACGUUGAUAGGCCGGGUGUGUAAGCGCAGCGAUGCGUUGAGCUAACCGGUACUAAUGAACCGUGAGGCUUAACCUUACA
RNAcentral lists this ribosomal RNA (1363 nucleotides) under Salmonella enterica. Its description in RNAcentral is "partial 23S ribosomal RNA". It matches the Rfam family "Bacterial large subunit ribosomal RNA", at positions 1589 to 2925 of the family's 2925-position model. RNAcentral also lists the same sequence under 2 other names. The record is from RNAcentral. Lineage: Bacteria; Pseudomonadati; Pseudomonadota; Gammaproteobacteria; Enterobacterales; Enterobacteriaceae.